RNAcentral lists this long non-coding RNA (1178 nucleotides) under Felis catus (domestic cat). RNAcentral's name for it is "lncRNA (ENSFCAG00000052028.1)". The record is from RNAcentral. Lineage: Eukaryota; Metazoa; Chordata; Mammalia; Carnivora; Felidae.
GGAUUUUCGGGGGGGGGGGGGGGCGGGGGAGAAAGAAAAAAGCAGCUGUUAAAACAGUUGUUGUGCACCAGGGGAAGGGCCCUGCCUUCCUUCCACGCUGCCAAACUCCGUAAACAGUUGUCAUUUUCUUUCACUCGGUGUGGCCCUGCCAGUGGCUGAGUCCCCUGGUUUGGGGGGACGGAGGUGUCGGGCCAACUUCAACUUUUAGUUCGAAUCGAGAACAAGAAAUGAUCCACAAUCAUCCCAAGUGCAUGGACAUGAAGUCAUGUACCUAGAAGACACGACCACCCCGUAGCCACCAACAAGCCCCUCCAGACGCAAAGACAAAUCCUCCUCUGGCUUCCUCUGAAUGAGCUGGGUCUGUUUAAGUCACAUAGGAUCCAUUCACCACAACCCUAAGCAGGCUGAUGCUGCAAUCAUAUGGAUGUCAGAAAGCUUAAGCAGCCAGAAUGGCUACUUCGUGUCUUGCCUGGAAACAUGACAGCGCUACUGACUUCAAAAGAUCGAUUUUUGUGCUGAAGGAACAUGCAGAAAGGGGCUUUCGAUGUAAAGACAGAAGAUUCUGCAUUUCCCAAGAAAAGGAAUUCCUGAAUUCCAAACCCGAGGCAGCAACCUGUUCAGAGGAAGUGUGUGGGUCUCUCACAGACUGUGUUAAUCGAACCGUUAGAGUCUUUGUAAGUCAUCAAUAAGUGCAGAUAAAGACACCCACCCCUGUAAAAGUUACAAACGUCCCAUUUAUAUUUUCAGAACGUCAGCUACCGUGGGUCUUGUUUCCCUUCCCUCCUGGUGGACGAGAGUUUAAGUGCUGUAAUCAUAGCAACUGUGGGCAAACCAAGGAGGUUAGAAAGGAGCCGCUCUAGGAAACAGAAGUACAAAGGAGAAGGCACACCCACUCCCGGGCAUAUUAAUCCAGACGGACUCAAAUAAUGAAACAGAGACCAAAAAGGAGCUUUGCCAAUCCUGUGCUAGGCUGCUGGCUUGGUCACAAGGAAGCUUCUGCAGCUUAGGGUACGACGGGGCCAGGUGUUCUAGGGAGCUUAAUUAAAAUGCAUUGUGACAGAACCAGAGUUGAAGUUUGAGAACGAACACGGCCGGCCAAACUUGAAUCGUUCCGAACAUUCAAACAGCUGAACUGUCACACAUAGCCCGGUGGAAUAAAGUGGCCAACCACCAGGUCA